This 253-nucleotide ribosomal RNA is filed under the name uncultured bacterium. Its description in RNAcentral is "partial 16S ribosomal RNA". It matches the Rfam family "Bacterial small subunit ribosomal RNA", at positions 524 to 776 of the family's 1533-position model. The record is from RNAcentral.
UACGAAUGGGGCAAGCGUUGUUCGGAAUUACUGGGCUUAAAGCGUGCGCAGGCGGACUUGAAAGUCAGAAGUGAAAGCCCCGGGCUCAACCCGGGAAUUGCUUUUGAAACUCCAAGUCUAGAAUCCGGUAGAGGUCAGGAGAAUUCCUAGUGUAGAGGUGAAAUUCGCAGAUAUUAGGAGGAAUACCAGUGGCGUAGGCGCCUGACUGGGCCGUUAGUCAAGCUCAGGCACGAAAGCGUGGGGAUCAAACAGG